UUACUGCUAUCGAGGUUCGACUAAGCCAUGCGAGUCGAAUGUAGCAAUACAUGGCGUACUGCUCAGUAACACGUGGACAACCUACCCUUUGGACGGGGAUAAACCCGGGAAACUGGGUAUAAUACCCGAUAGACCUGGGAUGCUGGAAUGCACCCAGAUUGAAAGCUCCGGUGCCGAAGGAUGGGUCUGCGGCCUAUCAGGUAGUAGUGGGUGUAGCGUACCUACUAGCCUACGACGGGUACGGGUUGUGAGAGCAAGAGCCCGGAGAUGGAUUCUGAGACACGAAUCCAGGCCCUACGGGGUGCAGCAGGCGCGAAAACUUUACAAUGCUGGCAACAGCGAUAAGGGAACCUCGAGUGCCAGGUUACAAAUCUGGCUGUCGUGAUGCCUAAAAAGCAUCGCAUAGCAAGGGCCGGGCAAGACCGGUGCCAGCCGCCGCGGUAACACCGGCGGCUCGAGUGGUAACCGUUAUUAUUGGGUCUAAAGGGUCUGUAGCCGGCCGGA
RNAcentral lists this ribosomal RNA (504 nucleotides) under uncultured archaeon. RNAcentral describes it as "bacterial SSU rRNA". It matches the Rfam family "Archaeal small subunit ribosomal RNA", at positions 24 to 533 of the family's 1478-position model. The record is from RNAcentral.